UGCAAUCUAUCGCCGGAUAGGCACCUUUUUCAGUACUCCGUAGGCCAUUGAGGGAUUACUGACAAAGGUGCCUUUUUC
Molecule: non-coding RNA, 78 nt
Filed under: unclassified sequences
Source: RNAcentral